Molecule: long non-coding RNA, 348 nt
Filed under: Gopherus agassizii (Agassiz's desert tortoise)
Lineage: Eukaryota; Metazoa; Chordata; Testudines; Testudinidae
Description: lncRNA (ENSGAGG00000023085.1)
Source: RNAcentral
UAACAUCUUCUUAGGCUUAUUUCAUUUUUCUGCUAUAGAUGAGACUGGCAUCUUUCGAGAGACUGAGUAACAAAAAGUAAGAUGUUUCAAAUGACAAGUGUCAUCUCCAAGAAUGAUUGCUAGCAAGUUCUCUGGCAGGUGCUGGUGAAAACUCAGGAGCAAAGAGGGGUAGACAUAAGAAUAAAGUAGGAACCAUCAGAGAAAACUGAAGACAGUCUCCAGAGGGUUAUGCUAACUUAAGCUGAGAGAGCAAUUAUACCACUAAAAUGAAGAAGGCACAUUCAAGAAAACAGUGCGAAUAGAAGUGAAAAUCAAUAGAAUAAGAGACCUCAGCUUUUGAAAAUAUUU